Long non-coding RNA from Corticium candelabrum, 866 nucleotides. RefSeq lists it as uncharacterized. The transcript has 5 exons. NCBI's taxonomy places the organism in Eukaryota, Metazoa, Porifera, Homoscleromorpha, Homosclerophorida, Plakinidae. The record is from RefSeq and is a predicted model, not a curated record.
GAGCAUGCUGGCAAUAGUAAAGUCCUACGAGAAAGUAAACGUCUGGUUGUCUGCUGGCUGCAGCAAUGCGCUCAGAAAGGAAGUGUGGCUUUGAUUCGCUUCUCCAACAAUGCCAAGAUGUGAAAGUAAUGGGCAACGCGAGUGAAACAAGCGAGAAAUCGGUGGGAUGGGCCAACCACACGUUCAGACCCGUCUAGUGCGUAUUCUCAGCCGGAAUGUUUCGAAACCGAGGAUUACGUUAGUAGGAGGCUUUGGGCUUUACCCCAAGACAAAGCCAUUGCAACGUGACAAUGUGAGAAAGUCAACAAAUAGAGAAGAGGAGAAAAGGCUGAAAGAAAGAAUAAGAAAUGGAGCAGCGUGAAAGUAAGUUUGAACCGAAGAGAUGAGCUUCUCUUGAUGUUGAUGUGGAUUACGUCGACAAUGCUGAAGAAUCUGAUCAUUGUCCUAGUGUUAGUCCUGGACUCCAGUACGUAGCAUUCGCAGAUUGUUGUUGGCUGCUUUGUAUAAAAUGGAAAUUGCUUGAGGUCACAAUUUAAACGUCAGAAGGCUAUGAGACAUUAUAGAGUAUCUCAAGUAAAAGAAAGCCAUCAAUAAUUAUAUGGUUGUGAGAGUUGAUUGAAACUUCUGAAGAUUGUAAUCAAUUAUCAACAAUCCUCCCACCCAUCCUUUUACAGCAGUUUCCAACAUCCUUGUAAAUUAGAGUCGGUCUAAGUAAUUAAUUAAGAGAGAUUUCAUAAUCUUGUUUGCUCUGACCAUCAGUAAUUGACUAAUUCUCAAAUAUUCGUUUGUUUAAAAUGAAAAGGGUGAGAAGAAGCCAGUUAGAUCUGGAUUUCUGAUAUCAAUUCAUGAUUCAAUUAAUUAGUGAG